CCCGCCGGGGACGCAGCAGCGGGAACGCAGCGUUUGUACGCACAAACUCCGUGAAGCUGAGGGGCAAGUUUCAUAUUUUAAUCACGAGCUGAUUUCUGCAACAGCACAUCUGCUGGAAUGUGAACAUACACAUCUCUGUGUGUGUGCCAAAAAACUCAGUUACACAGAACUGGCCCUGUGCCACUAACAUUGCUGCAGUCAGACAGCAACCAACUUGAAUUCCUGCUCCUCACAGCCGGAAUGUUGUCCAAAAGGCAAAGAUGCACCAAUGUCUGUUUGAGCCCGGGGUACAGCAGGAACUGGGGAUAAUGAGACAUGUGAGCAGAAGAAGGGUGGGAGGAAUAAAAAAGUGAUUUAAUGGUGCAUGACAUGAAUGGAGAAAAAUACAGUCUAAGAAUAAAUUGCUAAAGAAGAAUAGAAAGCAGAGACACUCAUCUCCCUCCAGCAACGAUGAAAUCUAAGGAUAACAGGAAAUAAAGCAAUUAAGGUCAAGACUGGUAUCAAGCUUCUGUUCAGAUCAGCAUGCUCAUCAGAAUCCAAGCUGCUAAACGAGGGAGAGGGCAGUGAGCAAACAACUGCAUGGUGUUCAGCUGCCUGCCGAGUUAAAGCACAGCAAUAAUAGCGGGGGGAAAAGAAGUACCUGACGAGAGAAAGACCCAACUAUGGAUGGCAGAAGGGGAAGUGAAGAUGGCAGAAGUGUGGGAAACCUCACAGCCAGUCAAAGCCAACAACACUGAAUUAAGAUGUCGUUAUCAGCCAUCUGUUCCUGGUCCUGCUCUCAAUUUCUUCCAUCAAAGAAAUAAUUCCAGACAUGAAACACCUCAUUGGAGCAACAAUCACCUGAAACUGCCAGAGUGCUGCAAUGCAACAGUGGGCCUGGCUUGCAGGGAGCAAUUGAAGGAACUUUUUCCGAUAUGCUGGUGUCACCAUAUACAGCAGGUGAUUCAUACUGGGAAUAGAAACCAGCUCAAGAUGAGUGCCCUGCAGAAGCUGAUUUGCUGCUUAUGCUACCAACACGUGCAGGUACAUGGCAUCCCAUCAGAGAGGUGCUUUGGCAGGCAGCUCCUGCCCGCCCGUCCGAGCCCCACUGCCCAGCACAGCACAGCCCGAG
RNAcentral lists this long non-coding RNA (1111 nucleotides) under Gallus gallus (chicken). RNAcentral's name for it is "lncRNA (ENSGALG00010025191.1)". The record is from RNAcentral. Lineage: Eukaryota; Metazoa; Chordata; Aves; Galliformes; Phasianidae.